UUCUUGAUUUACUUUCUCUGUGUUCAAACCCUCCGUUCACUUUCUGUUCUCAUCUCCUUUAUUUUCCCCCUCCCUUUGUACAUAUCUAACUGGUAUAAAUCCUAAUGGAAAACCACAGUCCUCGUCUUCAUUUCUCCCCUUCAUCUCUACAGUACAAAACCUAAUUAAAAACCACAACUAUGAGGCUGCUGAAGAAAACAAGAUUAGCAUCAGCGGUUUCCGACACCUUGGCUUUCAGGUUCAAUAUGGGUGUGGAUCAAAACAAUCAUGAUACGGAGGAGGGAACUCUGUUGGUUGGCAUGGGUAGGUAGAAGGUAUUGCAGUAUGAAAGAGGCUUUGUUAAACACAGUUGGGGUUCUAUAUAAUACUGACUGGAAUCUUCCUCCUUUAUGCGCACAUCACAAAGUACAGAACAAUCUCUGGAGUUGCUGGGCCAUUGGUUAUCCUCGAUAAAGUCAAGGGACCCAAGUAUCAAGAGAUUGUCAAUAUUGGUUUGGGAGAUGGAACAACUCGAUGUGGUCAAGUCCUAGAAGUUUAUGGUGACAACGCAGUUGUGCAGGUUUUGAAAACUCCUUAGACUUGAGUUAUGCUUUAGGGAUUCAUGGAGCUGAGUUGAUAAAGCUACUCCGCCACUGCAGGAAAUUUCAAUGACUGUGGAUACUGGAUUGCACUGGAGACAAAGGACUAGGAGUUGUAGCUUCUACUUCUGUGGACUUUGUAGAUGCAGUCUGGGUCUUCCAAAUAUUUAUUGUUUCUAGUAGUUGUACAUUGUUUAGGUGAAUUGAUUACUGGAUUUUUAGUUAAUGCAGAUUUAGGAGUAUGUUGUUUAAUUUACCAGAGAUCUCUUGUUUGUAAUUCGUGUUAUCAUAUUUAGAUCUUUGUUAAGAUUUGCCAAUUUCCUCAGCAACAAUAUCAGUUAUCAGUGGAAUGAAUCUUGUGUAACAUGUGGCAUCAUCAUUUUUGGUUAUGAAUUGGCUGCUUUGUUCUGGAAGGA
Vitis riparia (riverbank grape) is the source of this 994-nucleotide long non-coding RNA. RefSeq lists it as uncharacterized. The transcript is spliced from 6 exons. The record is from RefSeq and is a predicted model, not a curated record. NCBI's taxonomy places the organism in Eukaryota, Viridiplantae, Streptophyta, Magnoliopsida, Vitales, Vitaceae.